GGCGAAUCGGGUAGUAACACGUGAGUAACCUGCCCUGCGCUAGGGGGAUAACCCUACGGAAACGGGGGCUAAUACCGGAUAGUCAUGUCCUGCCGCAUGGUGGGGUGUGGAAAUGGGGCUUUCGGGUUUGGCGUGGGAUGGGCUCGCGGCCUAUCAGCUUGUUGGUGGGGUGAUGGCCUACCAAGGCGACGACGGGUAGCCGGUCUGAGAGGGCGACCGGCCACACUGGGACUGAGACACGGUCCAGACUCCUACGGGAGGCAGCAGUGGGGAAUAUUGCACAAUGGGCGCAAGCCUGAUGCAGCGACGCCGCGUGGGGGAUGACGGCCUUCGGGUUGUAAACCCCUUUCAGCAUCGACGAAGGCCUUCGGGUUGACGGUAGGUGCAGAAGAAGCGCCGGCCAACUACGUGCC
RNAcentral lists this ribosomal RNA (413 nucleotides) under uncultured bacterium. RNAcentral describes it as "bacterial SSU rRNA". It matches the Rfam family "Bacterial small subunit ribosomal RNA", at positions 97 to 509 of the family's 1533-position model. The record is from RNAcentral.